AUUGCCUUAGUAACGGCGAGUGAAGCGGCAAAAGCUCAAAUUUGAAAUCUGGCACCUUCGGUGUCCGAGUUGUAAUUUGAAGAAGGUAACUUUGGAAUUGGCUCUUGUCUAUGUUCCUUGGAACAGGACGUCACAGAGGGUGAGAAUCCCGUGCGAUGAGAUGCCCAAUUCUAUGUAAAGUGCUUUCGAAGAGUCGAGUUGUUUGGGAAUGCAGCUCUAAGUGGGUGGUAAAUUCCAUCUAAAGCUAAAUAUUGGCGAGAGACCGAUAGCGAACAAGUACAGUGAUGGAAAGAUGAAAAGAACUUUGAAAAGAGAGUGAAAAAGUACGUGAAAUUGUUGAAAGGGAAGGGCUUGAGAUCAGACUUGGUAUUUUGCGAUCCUUUCCUUCUUGGUUGGGUUCCUCGCAGCUUACUGGGCCAGCAUCGGUUUGGAUGGUAGGAUAAUGACUAAGGAAUGUGGCUCUGCUUCGGUGGAGUGUUAUAGCCUUGGUUGAUACUGCCUGUCUAGACCGAGGACUGCGUCUUUGACUAGGAUGCUG
RNAcentral lists this ribosomal RNA (538 nucleotides) under Debaryomyces macquariensis. RNAcentral's name for it is "eukaryotic LSU rRNA". It matches the Rfam family "Eukaryotic large subunit ribosomal RNA", at positions 74 to 628 of the family's 3401-position model. The record is from RNAcentral. Lineage: Eukaryota; Fungi; Ascomycota; Pichiomycetes; Serinales; Debaryomycetaceae.